Long non-coding RNA from Ailuropoda melanoleuca (giant panda), 3362 nucleotides. RefSeq lists it as uncharacterized. Lineage: Eukaryota; Metazoa; Chordata; Mammalia; Carnivora; Ursidae. The record is from RefSeq and is a predicted model, not a curated record. The transcript is spliced from 4 exons.
UUCAAAUGUGUAUUUAUCAGAUCUUCUUUGUCGCAUCUUAAAUAGUCUGGCGCCACGGUUACUGAGAUGGGAUAAUUCUUCCAACAUGAUGUCUCUGGGGAUGCUGACUUUUUUGCCCAGGUGCAUGCCAUCUACAUCUGUAAAACAACAUUAAUGUGCAUGAAAACCCCAAGUACUGCAGACCCGGAAGUGAGCCACCGAAGAGAAGUCGAAGCCUGGAAUAUGACGUUGUUUAGCCAUAUACUCUCAAUUGCUAUGUGGUGUACAUGCUACAAAUCACGUGACCAUUAUUAGACUAUUUCCCAAGGAAUCUGAUGCAUCAAAUGGGGCUGAGGGAAAGACAGUCCUUUGUUCAUUUGUACCAGAUUCCAGAAAUCUACUAGUUCUGAGGAAAAAACUGAAAAUGUACUUAUUUGAAAGUAAGGAGGUUCAAGAGCUUGGCCUAAGACCCAGGAGUUACUGGGGUAGAGUCAGGUCACGUGGGCUGCCUCGCAGGCAAGAGAUUGUGCCUGUGCUAGCCUCCUCCUUGUGGAAAACUGCUUCUCUACCCUCACCUCUAAUGUGUGUUCUAACUGGGAGCUGUCUCAUCCUGUGACCUCAGUCCCCUGGGCAACACUAACUGACCUUGGAGUGGCCACUUGACCUAAACUGGACUAAUAAUAACCCUCCUGACCCAGCUCAUGGAUACAUGAAGGGAGUCAAGACAAUUAGAAGUUUUCCUCACAUUUUUUUUGAAUCUGGAUGAAGAGAGGGAUGGAGGAAAAUGAGGGAGGUGAUGUGGAGAGAGAGUCCUCUUCUCUGGCUGGAAAGCUGUUCCUAUGGGAGCCAGCAGAAGCCACUGGAAGUUGUCAUGGUAGGCACAUUGAGAGUAUUGGUCCAAGAGAAGGAAGCUGACCUGGCAGCGCGAAUGUCCCUGAUCCAGUUUUCCCUCAUGACCACUGUGUUUUUAACCUGCUGCCUGUCUGGUUUCCUGAGACAAUAAAUACCUCCUUUUCCUUUGAAUAAGCUAGUUCCAGCUGGGUUUUUGCAACUUCCCACAAGGGUCCUGACUCACACAACUACGAAGAGGCAGAACCAGAAUUCAAAUGGACUUUCUUAUUCCCAUCUCCACUCUAAUUCCACCAAACUACAAUAUCUGUCAUGCCUCUGUUCUAGGGUUCUCCGGUCCUUCUGGAAUUAACAUUCAUUUAUGCUAGCAAGCCUAGAUAAGUUGUGCCAGGUGCAAGUUUCUGGCUUUCUCUCUUGGCUCUUAGGAUUUAUGCUUCCUGAACAUUCCAGAGUGGUAUUUCUGGUAAGAAAAACUAAACAGCCAGGUGGACUCAGGAGAAGCUAAGUUCUGGGCUGAAGUAAGUUGUUCAGAUUUUGCACAUUUAAACUGCCUGGAACUCUUUGCUGUUAGGUUUCAGAUCCCAUUUUUCCCCUUGCAAUAAUAAAAGCCAAAAAAGUGGAAACAUGGGGGAUUUUUUUUCAGAGAUGGAUGGUGAUGGUCUCCCAGAAGAAUUAAUUUUAGAACUAUAGCCUGACAUUUGGUGUAACUAUAGCCUUUGCUCACCAUAUUCACUAGAAUAAGAUGGUCCAUUCUUCCUGAAUGACAGGAAACAGUUCUUCACUCUUCUGAAUUCAUUAUGUAUGUUACCAUUGCAUAUUCCAACAUCUUCUAAAAUCUUUAAUCCAUUCCACUUGUUUUUUUAAUAAAAGAUUUUAUUUAUUUAUUUGAGAGAGAGAGCAAGAGAGAGAACAAGCAGGGGGAAUGAGCAGAGGGAAAGGGAGAAGCAGACUCCACGCUGAGCAGGGAUUCUUACGUGGUGCUCAAUCCCAGGACCAUCAGGACCUGAGCCAAAGGCAGACGCGUAACUGACUGAGCCAUCCUGGUGCCCCUCCAUUCCACUUGUUUUAUGGAAAAUCUUGGGUAUUUUGUUGUCAUGGAGUCCUUGACCCAGAUUCUUACUUUCAAAUAACAUAAAUAUAGAUUUACACUAAAAAAGCAUGUGCAUUUAUAUACAUAUAAUGCAUGCAUCAUAUAUAUAAUUAAUAUAGACUUUAUCUUUAACAGAUUACAAGAUUUUUUUGGCAUAGAAGUAGGACACUCAAUUAAACGAUUUUUUUCAAGCCUCAUAGUUCUUAUAUUCUUCAUAAUAACUCUCCGUGAUUGAUAAAUCUUUUUAAAUUCAAUUCAACUUAGAGGUGAAGAAAUUCAUUUAAAAGGACUACAUUAUGCUCUCUAUAGUCAUAAAUUAAUAUAUUCAUAGGAUAUAUCAUUUAUGACAAGAAAACAGUUCUGCUUAGUUGUUCUUGGCCAUUUGGAUAGGGCCAUUUUCAUUGAACUAAUUGGCAUAAUAGCAACGACAACAGUAACAACAACAAAUACCGAUUCAACAGAAAUUCAAUGAAGAAUAUUAAAGACAAAACCAACCUGAGAUCCAUAAUUCAAUUAAGAGAAUGACCAAGAUUACAGUGAAGAGUUUUAGAAGGUCAAGUCAAAUUCUGCUUGUGUUCUCACUGACCUGCAAUGCUGUGUGACAGGAUUCAGUGCCAAGUCAGUUUUAGCUGUCUCUUUUUUCCUUACCGCGCUCCCAGCUUCUGCUGCUAUCAGUAGAGGCAAUAAAAGGCAAUGGAAGCCAGAGGCAAAAACGAUAAAAGCAGACCCUUGCUUGAGUUUUCAAGUUACUCAUCAUCCUGGUUUACAGACUUUCCGUGAAUAUGUAUGUGAUUUCGUUUUCAUUGCCAAGUCACCUGAUUUCUCAAGUCCUGGCUUAGGAAAUGAGAUGAGCAGGGAGGAGUGCCAUUGGCUCACAGAAAACAGUGUUUGUUACAAGUGCCGUUUGUUUUAUUUUUACUGUACAAAGUAUAAUGUGCCAUAUAAUUACAAAGCUUUAUUAUUUAUAGUCUGAGGUCAAAAAAGGCAAGGAUUAGUCUCUAUUUUUUUAUUCCAAAUUUUCCUAUAACAGUUCUGCUUUGCUACACUCUUACAUUCCAAGAUAUGAUUUGCCAGAACAAUGAUGGACAUUUUGAUGUCUGAUGCACAAAUAAUCUCUCCAGAAUAACUGGAAAUUUUAAUAUUUUGGGUAUCUGAAAUAAUACAUAGAGGUAAGCUAUAGAAUUUGGUGUAGAAUUUAUGUUUUUCUCUAAAGAGAGGAAAAACACUAGAUGUGAUACCUACUCGAAAUUUGGUGUAUGACUUUGAAGAAUUUAAGAAAUCACUUCUUCCUAAGGAAUUUGUUAAAGGCUCUGAGUAGCUGAAAGUCAACAAUAAAAUUACUCUCAACUGCUACAUUAUGUGGGUCCACACUUUCCUCACUUAUAAAAACCAAACUUAAUUUUUUUUAAAGAUUUUAUUUAUCUAUUUGACAGAGACAGCCAGC